Molecule: ribosomal RNA, 351 nt
Filed under: uncultured bacterium
Lineage: Bacteria
Description: bacterial SSU rRNA
Rfam family: Bacterial small subunit ribosomal RNA
Source: RNAcentral
CGGGUAUGUUAAUAGCAUACUCAUUUGACGUUAGCUGCAGAAGAAGCACCGGCUAACUCCGUGCCAGCAGCCGCGGUAAUACGGAGGGUGCGAGCGUUUAAUCGGAAUUACUGGGCGUAAAGCGCAUGCAGGUGGUUUGUUAAGUCAGAUGUGAAAGCCCGGGGCUCAACCUCGGAAUUGCAUUUGAAACUGGCAAACUAGAGUACUGUAGAGGGGGUAGAAUUUCAGGUGUAGCGGUGAAAUAGCGUAGAGAUCUGAAGGAAUACCGGUGGCGAAGGCGGCCCCCUCGGACAGAUACUGACACUCAGAUGCGAAAGCGUGGGGAGCAAACAGGAUUAGAUACCCUGGUAG